Molecule: long non-coding RNA, 622 nt
Organism: Dreissena polymorpha
Lineage: Eukaryota; Metazoa; Mollusca; Bivalvia; Myida; Dreissenidae
Exons: 2
Source: RefSeq, a predicted model, not a curated record
GAGAGUCUGAUCGAAAUGGAGCUGGACUCGAAAUUGCCGACAAACAAUUCCCGAUUUACAGCGUUUUCGACGUUAUAACGCAAACAAAAAGGACAAAUCUGUGUUACUGUCUACAAUGCAUUGUGGUACAUAACAAACCAGAUGGACACGAUUAACAUCACCUCCAAAAAGCAGAAAGAUGUACAGCCUGUUCAGGACCAGUUUGAACAGUUUGACGGGUACAUUGAAACAAAAAGGAAGAAGCAGAAAUGCAAGCCGAUGACCAGUAGCGUACUUCAGAGUCACGCGGAAUGUUUAUUCAGUUUAUUAGAGAAACCUUACGUAAACUCUUCAACAGGAUAAUGGCCAGAGCUUUGUGCAAGUGUAGAAGCUUUAGCAUCAUGUCUGUCAUCUUAAGAACAAUAUUUAAACAGGCAACUACAACUGCUACAAAUAAGGAGCUGUCUUUUCCAUAUAAGACUGUUGAUCAGAAUGCAUCAGUCUUUCAUUGUAGGAUCUGUUGUUAAAGACAAAUACACACUGCUUGACAAAGCUGUUGUAAGUUCUGACACUGAAAAUUCUGUUUUAUUUGAUAAAAAUCUGCAUGUUGAAAAACCAUUUGAGAAUAAAAUACAGAAAUUUC